UCGAUUCAACCUGAGAUGGAUCCGAGCGGUCGCAAGACUGCUCUCCAUUUCUAACACACACCUGUGCACCUGUUGUAGGUCCCGCAAGGGAUCUAUGUCUUUCUCAUAUACUCCAAACUGUUAUUAGAAUGUACCCUUUUUGCUUCUCGCGAGAGAACAAAAAUAAAAACCUUUA
Molecule: unclassified non-coding RNA, 175 nt
Filed under: uncultured Agaricomycetes
Lineage: Eukaryota; Fungi; Basidiomycota; Agaricomycetes
Description: sequence contains ITS1
Source: RNAcentral